This 4153-nucleotide long non-coding RNA is filed under the name Canis lupus familiaris (dog). RNAcentral's name for it is "lncRNA (ENSCAFG00845027841.1)". Lineage: Eukaryota; Metazoa; Chordata; Mammalia; Carnivora; Canidae. The record is from RNAcentral.
AUGGCACUGACAUGCCCAGAUAGUUGUGCAGGCUUUCCAGUGGGCCUCUGUGGUUAAUAACUAACUUGAAGGUUCACAAUGCUCAGGAUCCUGGUCUAAACAGACACUCAGAUUCCAGCAGUACGCAUCAAACAAUCAAACAAUUGUAUCUUGCCAAACAAAGAUGGCUUCAAGUUGGGGAAAAUCUAGAGGGGAAAAGCUUCUCUUUGCUCUCACUUGUUACCUUGAAGACAGUAGAGCAGACUACACCACCAUCAUAAGAAAAGAUUCCAGUAAUAAAUAAUAACGGCAAUAAUUAUACACUGAUAUGCUAUAUAUUAUAUAUGGCAUAUAUGUAAUACAAUAGAUAAUGUAAUGCAUUGCUAUAAAUAACAUUUCUGUUAAGAAAAACAGGAAAAAGACAGCACACUGAAGAAAAGAGGUGUUAAAGAUGGCAGACCAGUGAAAUUUAUUUCAGACUUCUGGCCUCUAGAACUGUGAGAGAAAUAGUUUUCUACUGUUUUAAGUCACCAAGUUUGGAGUAAUUUGUUACAAGAGUCACUGGUAAUUAGCAUACCGUACUGAAGUCCUCAGUGCUCUGGCUAAAUAUUGUUUUCAAGUUGCAAAUCAAAAAAAAAAAAACUGUUUGCAUUAACUAUGCAAAUAAAUACAGAAAAAACAACCAAAAUAAACUCUAUUUUAAAGCAAAAAAAUCAGGCACACUCUUUUUUUGGAAUUUUUAUUAUUUUUGAGGGCAGAUUUUUUUUCUUCCUCUAGAAGGUAAGGAUCCUAAGUUACCACUCUCUUACAUCACCUGAAAAAAGAUCAUUAACUAUAAAGAUGUAUGAUAACAUACAUUUCAUAAAAUGGCACAAAACACAUUUUCUUUUUAAAAAUUCCUUCUUUUAAGGUCUCUAAAUAUAAUAGAUUCAAGGCUGAACUAUUUUCUCUUGAUAAUUUAUUUUGGGAAAGCCAAUGCUCUCUAAAUGUCACAGAUUUGAAGGUUCAUUAAAAGUUAUUGGGGGAUUGUUUUUUAAUAAUGAAAUGCAAAUAUUAAAAGUGAAGGGAGUGUUAAUUACUUGAAAAUGGGAAACCAUUUGCGGUAUUUAAAACAGGCUACGAACACUCUAUUACUCUAAUUAUUUCAGGACUGAAGCCACCUCUGGUCUUCUGUGUUUGCUGGGCAUAUGGCAUUACAUUAGACAUGGCACAUAUGUGGAACAUGUUUUUCCGUCUUCCCCCUCUACAUAUUUUACUACGAUGUAAGCCAUAUGUUUCAUUACAAAGGGUGGGAAAACCAGCUGCCAUGUUCUUAGGGCACUGGGGCAGACCUUGGGGAGGCCCACAUGAUAAGGAACCAAGGGCCCCUGGCAGUACUGUGCAUGAGCUUAGAAGCAGUUAUUGUGAAUCCUGCCCACAGCCAUGUGAGUGAACCUAGAAGCAGAAAUUCUUCCAAUGAAGACUUGAAGUGACUGCAACUCUGCCCAACACCUUGACAGCAACCUCAUGAAAGAUCCUAGGUCAGAAAUACUCAAUUAAGCCAUUCCGUAUUCUUGAUUCACUGGAACUGAGAUAAUAAAUGUUUUAAGCUGUUAAUGGUGGGAUGAUUUGUUACACAGCUAUAGCUAACUACUAUGACAUCCAAUUAAAAUAAGCUGUGGCAGGGCAAGGGAAAGGCCAGAGAAUGAAUCUGUGUCUCCAAAUCCAGGAUUCUAACUUCUCAGUUGUAGGAUAUUGGGCACGGUCACAAAGCUCCUUGAGGCCUCAUUUCCACAUGUAUUCAAGAAAAAUGUCAACCAAAAUGAUUUCCAAGGUUUCUUUUGGCAGUGAAAAUGCAGGACUAAGCUAUAAAAGGCAGCUCUACCCUUAAUAUAAGAAAAGAUGGCCACUGGUACUGCCCAGCAAUGGGAUCUGCCUUCCAGGCCCUGUUGGUAGAGGAGAUUGGAUCAUCAUUGGUGUUGGCCAUAUGAUGCACUGGAUAGGAAUAAGCAGAUAAUACAUGAUGACUUUCAAUCCUGAUCUGCUAUAUUUCUGAUCCUAGCUGUAAAAACAAAAGAAAGAGAUAAUGCCCCAUAUCACACAGAACCAAAACAAAUCAAAGAAACAAACACUGUUUAGUCAUAGAAGGGCAGUCAUGACCCAUGAUAAAUGAAAAAAACAAGCAGCAGAAGCUACGUUAGGGGUCUCAAACCUGGCCAUACAUUAGAAGCAUGUAGGAUUUUAAAUUGACUUUUUAAUUUUUUAAAAGAUUUUUUCAUUUAUUUUAGAGAGAGAGAGAGAGAGCAUAUAAGUAGGGGAAGGGGCAGAGAGGGGAGAGGGGAGAAAAACUCUCAAGCAGAAUCCACAUUGAGCCUGAGCUUCACACAGAGCUUGACCUGGAGAUCAUGCCCUGAGCCAAAGGCAGACGCUCAACCACUGAGCCACCCAGAUGAUUCAAUUUUCAUCUUUAAAGGUCAUUGAAACACUAAGCUACAAAAUGACAAAACAACAGGUUGAAACAAUAAAAAAUAGCCACUUGUCUAAUGAACACUACAGAAGACUGCUGCCUGAUUUUUUCCUUAUUAAAUUAUUUUUCCCUUAGUUCUGAUGACAUUAUCAUCUAAGCCCUCCACUGAAACAGAAAAAAAUAAAAUUGAAAUUAAAAUUAUUUAAUUAAAUAUAAUUGAAUACUAUUCCCAGUGCAUAGUAAUGUAUAAGAAUGCCAUGUAAGAAUGAUGUACUGCCCAUGUUUCAAGAGUGUUUGUGUCCAUGGCAGAGGCACAGGGGAGGUGUUUGUCCAAAAGAAACCAACUGAUUCCUUUGUGUUAGUAUGAUGCUGAAUUUUAUUAAUGAUUUAUGAAUCAUCCAAGGACAAUGUAUCAUGUAAUAGCUGAAAUAUUUAUAUAUAUAUAUGUAUAUAUAUAUAUAUAUAUAUACAUAUAUAUAUAUAUUUAAGUGUCCAACAUCAAGGGAAAUUCACAAAGAGAGGUUUAUGUUAUAAUACUUACUAGAAAUUGUAUUAGGAAACAUUUCUGAGUCUAAUAUCUGUCUGAGUUCAUUUGAAAUGUCUCUAUUUACUCAUCCACUCUGUAUGUACCUUGUUUAGCUUCCUCACAAUGUUACAGAUUUGUAAACAGUAGUACUGUGAGCUAAAUGGAAAUUGCAGAAGUGUAAUUACAGCUGGAUGAGAAUGUUAAGUACUCACUUUGAGUUUUAACCUGAGAGUGUUUUGGAUGAAUAGCAUCAUCAAUCAAUAUUUAUUGAACAUUCAAAGGGUACAUGAUUUGGCCUAGGUAGUUGACAAUAAAGGCAUCCGUGCUUGUGUGGAUUUCCCUUCCUCAAAAAAUGUAGCGGAAAACUGCCAAAAAUCUAAUGUGAUAGGUUAAAAAAUGUGUCCCCCACCACUCAUUUGAAUACCAACAGUAAUGAAACAGAUUUUCUUCUAAAAAUUAGCUUUCAGUGUGAAAAUGAAAUGGCUCUACUGUGAGAAUACUGCUGUUAGAAGGAAAGGGAGUUUUCUUCAAUUGAUAUUACAUUUUUAGAAAGAUUAAUGAUUUUCAAAAAAAAAAAAAAGAGAAAGGGCACACUUUUUCAAAGAAAUGGUUCAAAUUCAUUCAUUUUGAAAAUAUAUGAAAAUCCAACCCUAAUCUCCCACCCCCAGUCCAAGGAUGCCAGUAAUGAUAAGUUGGUCAAUAUCCAAAGGGUUAAAAAAUGGACUUUCAUAUAAAUAGAAAAUGAGAAUUUAUAAAAUAUUAAUGUACUAAGGUAUCUAUGAUUACAAAUAGUUGGCUUCAAAUCAGUCUCAAUUUGGUAUGAUAAGGCAAGAAGAGAAAGAUCAACUUUUAUUCUAACCCAAUAAAAUAAUUUUUAAAAAAUGAGAUGAUUUCUUCAAAAAAUGAAGAAAUAUGUGCUAUGAGUUUUGUCUAUUUUCUGUUCAAGGGCAAUUCAUUUUCCUGUCAUAAAAUAUGAUCUAUCUGAACUGUGUAAUAUGGAAGAUUUAAUGAUUAUUAGACACUAGUGCAGUCAAUCCCUCACUCUGGAAAACUGAUUGAGAAGCUUUCACUGAAUGCAAAAUCUUCCACUUUAAACUCAGAGAACACUCAGAUGGAGAUCUACUUGAGUACUUGGGUUGAUCUUUUAUAAGUUCAAUACUUUCCUGGAAAUAUAUAUUACACUUUUUAUAUAGUAUACAUUC